RNAcentral lists this ribosomal RNA (543 nucleotides) under Debaryomyces hansenii. RNAcentral's name for it is "eukaryotic LSU rRNA". It matches the Rfam family "Eukaryotic large subunit ribosomal RNA", at positions 96 to 655 of the family's 3401-position model. The record is from RNAcentral. Lineage: Eukaryota; Fungi; Ascomycota; Pichiomycetes; Serinales; Debaryomycetaceae.
GAGCGGCAAAAGCUCAAAUUUGAAAUCUGGCACCUUCGGUGUCCGAGUUGUAAUUUGAAGAAGGUAACUUUGGAGUUGGCUCUUGUCUAUGUUCCUUGGAACAGGACGUCACAGAGGGUGAGAAUCCCGUGCGAUGAGAUGCCCAAUUCUAUGUAAAGUGCUUUCGAAGAGUCGAGUUGUUUGGGAAUGCAGCUCUAAGUGGGUGGUAAAUUCCAUCUAAAGCUAAAUAUUGGCGAGAGACCGAUAGCGAACAAGUACAGUGAUGGAAAGAUGAAAAGAACUUUGAAAAGAGAGUGAAAAAGUACGUGAAAUUGUUGAAAGGGAAGGGCUUGAGAUCAGACUUGGUAUUUUGCGAUCCUUUCCUUCUUGGUUGGGUUCCUCGCAGCUUACUGGGCCAGCAUCGGUUUGGAUGGUAGGAUAAUGACUAAGGAAUGUGGCUCUACUUCGGUGGAGUGUUAUAGCCUUGGUUGAUACUGCCUGUCUAGACCGAGGACUGCGUCUUUGACUAGGAUGCUGGCAUAAUGAUCUUAAGCCACCCGUCUU